This 450-nucleotide ribosomal RNA is filed under the name uncultured bacterium. Its description in RNAcentral is "partial 16S ribosomal RNA". It matches the Rfam family "Bacterial small subunit ribosomal RNA", at positions 354 to 796 of the family's 1533-position model. The record is from RNAcentral.
GUGGGGAAUAUUGGACAAUGGGCGAAAGCCUGAUCCAGCCAUGCCGCGUGUGUGAAGAAGGUCUUCGGAUUGUAAAGCACUUUAAGUUGGGAGGAAGGGCAGUAAGUUAAUACCUUGCUGUUUUGACGUUACCGACAGAAUAAGCACCGGCUAACUUCGUGCCAGCAGCCGCGGUAAUACGAAGGGUGCAAGCGUUAAUCGGAAUUACUGGGCGUAAAGCGCGCGUAGGUGGUUUUGUAAGUUGGAGGUGAAAUCCCCGGGCUCAACCUGGGAACUGCCUCCAAAACUGCAUGACUAGAGUACGGUAGAGGGUAGUGGAAUUUCCUGUGUAGCGGUGAAAUGCGUAGAUAUAGGAAGGAACACCAGUGGCGAAGGCGACCACCUGGACUGAUACUGACACUGAGGUGCGAAAGCGUGGGGAGCAAACAGGAUUAGAAACCCGUGUAGUCC